RNAcentral lists this transfer RNA (68 nucleotides) under Ochotona curzoniae (black-lipped pika). RNAcentral's name for it is "tRNA-Arg". It matches the Rfam family "tRNA". Rfam says of the family: Transfer RNA (tRNA) molecules are approximately 80 nucleotides in length. Their secondary structure includes four short double-helical elements and three loops (D, anti-codon, and T loops). Lineage: Eukaryota; Metazoa; Chordata; Mammalia; Lagomorpha; Ochotonidae. The record is from RNAcentral.
UGAUAAUUAGUUUAAAUUAAAACAAAUGAUUUCGACUCAUUAGACUAUGGAUUGUCCAUAAUUAUCAA